GCAAGACCUCGGCGGACGGCUCAGUAACACGCGGACAACCUGCCCUCGGGUGGGGGAUAACCUCGGGAAACUGAGGAUAAGACCCCAUAAGUCUGGAUCGCUGGAACGCCUCCAGGCUGAAAGCUCCGGCGCCCGAGGAUGGGUCUGCGGCCUAUCAGCUUGUAGGGGGUGUAACCGACCCCCUAGGCGUCGACGGGUACGGGCUAUGGGAGUAGUCGCCCGGAGAUGGAUUCUGAGACACGAAUCCAGGUCCUACGGGACGCAGCAGUCGCGAAAACUCCGCAAUGUGGGAAACCACGACGGGGGAACUCCCAGUGCGCGCACUUAGUGUGCGCUGUUCUCCCGUCUAAAAAACGGGAGAAGUAAGGGCCGGGUAAGACGGGUGCCAGCCGCCGCGGUAAUACCCGCGGCCCGAGUGGUGCUCAUUCUUAUUGAGUCUAAAACGUCCGUCGCCGGCUCGGUCGAUGCCUGGGUAAAUCGGAUCGCUCAACGGUCCGAAUUCCGGGUAGACCGCCGAGCUCGGGACCGGGAGAGGUGCGAGGUACGCCGGGGGUAGGGGUAAAAUCCUGUAAUCCUCGGCGGACCACCAGUGGCGAAGGCGUCGCACUAGAACGGAUCCGACGGUCAGGGACGAAGCCCAGGGGCGCAAACGGGAUUAGAUACCCCGGUAGUCCUGGGUGUAAACGCUGCAGGCUUGGUGUCGGGGGUCCUACGGGGGCGCCCGGUGCCGGAGCGAAGGUGUUAAGCCUGCUACUUGGGGA
This 761-nucleotide ribosomal RNA is filed under the name uncultured archaeon. Its description in RNAcentral is "bacterial SSU rRNA". It matches the Rfam family "Archaeal small subunit ribosomal RNA", at positions 70 to 834 of the family's 1478-position model. The record is from RNAcentral.